UCAUCGCCAUCUCUUAUUCUCUUUCACCGCCCCUCCACCACCUUCAUCGAAUCCUAAAUCGAUUCAACUUACCCAAAAGUUUUUAAAAAAACUACAGUUAUCAAUCCUCAGAGCUUUCCCACUCCGUCUUCUUGAAAGUCCAAUUUAAUGGCCAUUAUCUCCAAACUCAUCAACAGUUUCAGAAGUCGAAUAGCUAUACCUUCCAUCCAUUUCCGCUCAAGUUUAACCCAUAAAUAUACUAAUCGCCCUUUCCUCACCAUAAUCAGUUGAUUACAGGAGGCAACAAUCUUAAUAUUUGACAGCGACGUGGGUUUUCGUCUCUUGGUCGGCCACAGAUCGUUUAAAAUCUCAUAUGAACACAAGAUAGAGAAGGAUCAGAGCCACAACUACUCAUAGUUACUGACUGGCAUCUCCUCCAAAAACUGACCUCGGAUUAGUUAAUAGCAAUACAAGAGUUUGAGAUGAGAAUGAGUGCCAAGUUGAAGAUGAAUACUACCAGGUUGUUGCUAAGCGUUGGUUGCAAUGGCAUGGACUCUUUAGCUUAUAGUCAAUUUGAUUUAUGCUAGCUUGUCAUUCUGAUUUAAGUUUUUCUUUACAACCAUAUAAUAUUUUAUUGCAUAUGUUUUGUAUUGUGUUUCAACCCAUUGAUGCCAAAAGCUUAUUUGAAUAUACAUAUAAUUUCAUUGUC
Camelina sativa (false flax) is the source of this 688-nucleotide long non-coding RNA. RefSeq lists it as uncharacterized. Lineage: Eukaryota; Viridiplantae; Streptophyta; Magnoliopsida; Brassicales; Brassicaceae. The record is from RefSeq and is a predicted model, not a curated record.